RNAcentral lists this long non-coding RNA (9604 nucleotides) under Homo sapiens (human). RNAcentral describes it as "HSALNT0122180". Lineage: Eukaryota; Metazoa; Chordata; Mammalia; Primates; Hominidae. The record is from RNAcentral.
UUAAUGUGCAACUAGAAUCGUUCCACCAUAUCCUUGCCAAGUGUCAAGUGCUUGCUUUCUGCAAACUGUCUGUUGGAGACUCUCCUCCCACACGGUCUGCAGCCAAAUGGGGAUGACACUGGGCUGGGUGCUCUGAGCCAGUUCUGGUAUCUGCGCUGUACCUGUUUCCCUAUCAGAAAGGUGCUGCUGCCUUAGGACUCCAUCCUGCUUCUUCCAAGGCCACUAAGAUCAUGUAGUGAUUUCAAUGCACCCACUGUUUCUCUGGCCAUGCACUCUAAUCAACUGCUAAGAUAAAAAACAUUUCUCCAUUCCUCUAGUCUGAGGAAAGUAACAGUUUAUGCCUCCUUUGCUCUCUCCUGAUUUCAUCUUGGUGCAUGGAGUUUGCAAGGGGACACUCAGCUUGUCUUUGAUGUCUGGUUCAGGCACUUUCUCAAUGGGAAUUGUUUGGUCUUUUUCUUUUAAGGAAUUUCAAAAGCUUGACAAAAAUUAUCUGAGAGGAAAAUGUGUGUUCCCAGAUUGGAAGCAGCGAAAAAAAGGCACAGCAUCACCACAUCAUUUUAGCAUCCAUUGGUGCCGUUGAAGGGCAAGAGAAUGAACUUUGAUGAGAAAGAAGUAGUUAUCCUGGUUAAUAACUGACUUGGAGCACUAGAACCCUUUGCUGCUGAGAAGUGGUCCCAGUUCCAGGGCUGGGUAUUUGAAAUCCUGAGCUGGACUCUGACAUCUUGGUCAUCCACCCUCCAUGGCCAUGCCUGUCUCCCAGGGCUGUCCGUCAGGGCUCCCUGAAGUCCUCUUCUCCAGGAACACAGACCCAUACCUGCUCCCUAUCACUGACAUGACAUGGUGUCUGGGACCCUCACUGCCUCUGUCACUCAUCUAGGAAGCGGCUGAUUGAAGCCUCUCCUCAGGAGUGUCUCCUGGAAGAGAGAAUAUGGAGACUGUGCAGCUCAGGGCGUCACCCUCCAGACUGAAUUGCUCUGGCCUCCACACAUCCAGGACACAUCUCCCAUGGGGACUGUGGUGGUGACUUGUAUGUGUCAACUUGCCCAGGCCAUCGAGUGCCCAGACAUUUGGUCUAUGAUUAGGUUGGGUGUUUUAGAUAUGAUUGACCUUGACACUGGUGGACUGCAGGCAGCAGAUUCCCUCCCUUAUGUGAAUGGAGGCCUGAAUGGAACAAAAUGGUGGAUUCUGUCCAGAGCAAGAGAAUUCUUCCUGCCUGAUGGCCUUCAAACAGAAAGGUCAGCUUCUUCCUGCCUUCAGACUUGAACGGAAACAUCAGCUCUUCCUGACUCUCAAGCCUGCUGACCUUCAGAUUGGAGCUUACAUUACUGGCUUCUCUGGGUCUUCACACUGCCCUGACCCUGCAGAGCUCAGAACUUCUCCGCCACCAUAAUCAUCUUUCACCUCCCCGGAGGGCAUCCUCUGACACCCCAGGCCACUUUGGGACCCUUUCUCAUAUGCUUCCAUUGCACUGGGCAGUUCUCCUGUCUAGUAUCUUCCAUUGUUUAAUGACCUUAAGUACUUGUCCAAUAUGGAUCUCCCCACUGGACUCUAAAGUUCCAUAAGAACACCAAUAUUCUGUGUGGCACAGAGUAGCUAGGCAAGGUCUGUUGAGUGAGUGAAAGAGUGAAUAAGUGAAUGAACUGCACUCCAUUGCUUCCCACCCUUUCUAGUUCUCAGCUCAGUAUUUCAUUUAUGACUCCAAAUCCUACUAAAGUGAGGUAUCUGGACACAAAGAAAGAGUUGAAAAAUUCACCAGGAGCUGCUCCCAGGAGGCUGCAAGGAGAGUGAAGUGCAGCAUGUGCCACUGGAGGGACCUGUUGGUUGGAGUGUCUUGGGUUGGGCUCAUGCACUAUCAGUGGCUUAAUAACGUGCUACAACUCAGCUCUGUGAGCAUCACGCCUCACUGUGAAGUGUUGCCUCGACUAACAACACUUUGUGAAAAUUGAACAUUUGGUUGUGUGGGGUGUAGGAAGAUGAGAAAACUAAUUAUAGUUUCUCUGGGGGGGCCUGCAGCAGUUGGAGUCAUGGUUACAAUUCUAGUCUAUGUGGGAUUUGCUUCAUUCUCUCUUUUUAUUUCUACACUUGGUGUGACAAUAGAUUUACAUAAUGGACAUUUGUCAAGGGUUUCAAGUCACAGCUUUUAUAGGCUUCCAUCUUUUUUUGAAAGAAGACAGAUUUUCAGAGUGGUUUGAAUUUCAUGACAAUGUGGGCCGGCCACAUGGACAAUUGGUCUGUUGUGAGGAACUGGAGCUCAUUUAUGUACCAUUGUUUGGAAGUUCUGAAAUAGCACCAGGACCAAUGAUGCUGAAAUUCCUUAACAAUCUAAAUUAUCCUGCUGUUCAUUUGCUUAGAUCAAUUUGCCUUUAAAAUUCAGCAUAGUACAAAAGCUACACAAGGAGAAAUGGGUUAAAAGGCUUGAAUUUUCAAGCCAAGGUUCUGCUAUAUAAAAAUAAUGAUGAAACUCUCAGCCUGAACAAGAUGGCAAAGGCUCAUUUCUCUCUGCCACACUCUGCCAAGUCCAGAAUCAGCCCUGGAAAUAAAGCAAGAGUGCCAGAGGAGAACUCUGAAAGGUGGAAGGAGGGAAGUGGCCUGAUUUGGGACCAAGAACUGAAAAGCAAUGCAAUACGGGGGUCUUAUACCCCCCAUCCAACAGACGAAGGUGAUAGAAGGUGGCCCAGGUGGGCAUGUCUAUCCCCUAGAUUGAAAGAGAGACCUUAUCAUCAAAGGAGGUGAGAGGCACAAGAGAGACUGGUCAGGGACCCCACUAGCCAUAAGCAGCCAGCAGGGAAGUGUUCUCCUUCCUUCUGGAUCCCAGAUGCCCCUCCCGACCAAGAAGUACUGAGCAGCUGGGCAACACUCAGAUGGAAUCCUGCCACAGGUGGGCUGGCCUAGAAGCCCCUUUGUUGCUGCAGGAGUGAGAUUCUACGGCCCUUCAGAGACACUGGAAAUAGAUCUAGCAAUAUAUGCUGUAGCUAUAGAGUAAUCCUGGGUAAAUGUUAGGUAUAUAUUGCUACAGUAAUCAAUACAGUGUAGUAUUGGGGAACGACAGACACACAAAUCCAUAGUACAAAACAGAGAAUCCAGCAAUAGACUGACAGAAAUGAGCCCAACUGAUUUUUAACAAAGAUUCAAAAACGAUUUAAUGGAGGAAAGCAGUCUUUGCAACAAAUGGUGCUGGCACAAUUGGACAUCCAUGGGCAAAACAAAUAAGCAAAACAAAACAAAAAAAGAAACAAAAAAGAACUUCAACCUAAGCUUUGCAUCUUACACAAAAGUUAACUCCAAAUAGAUCAUGGUGUUAGUAUAAAAUGUCAAACAAUACACCUUUUGGGGGAGAAAACAGAAAAUAUUUAAGAUCUGGGGCUAUUUCUCAGAUUUGACACCAAAAGCAUGAUCCAUCGAAGGGCAUUUUGAUGGAUAAAUUGGAUUUUAUCAAAAUUAAAAAUUUUUGCUCUGCAAAAGGCCACGAGAAGAGGAUAAAAAGGCCAGCUAUAGACUAGGAGAAAAUAUUGCAAACCACAUAUCUGACAAAGAACUGGUAUCUAGAAUAUAUACAUUCUCAAAACUCAACAGUAAAGAAAGAGAUGAUUCAACUACAAAAUGCACAGAAGCUGUGAACAUUUUUCUGAAGAGCAUAUAGAGAUGGCUAUAAGCACAGGAGACAGUGUUCAACAUUAUUAGCCAUCAGGUAAAUGCACACGAAAAUCACAAUGAUCUAUUACUACACAAGUGUCACAAUGGCUAAAAUAAAAAAUAGUGAUGACACCAAAUGUUGGCUAGGAUGUGGAGAAACUGGAUCCCUCAUUCAUUGCUGGUGAGAAUGUAAAACGGCACAGCCACUCCUGGAAAACAGUUUGUCAAUCUCUUAAAAAACUAAGCAUGCCAACUACCAUGCAACCCAGUAGUCAUACCUGUGGGCAUUUAUCUCGGAUAAAUGAAAAUUAUGUUUAAACAACAAUGUGUACCUGAAUAUUCAAAGACAUUUCACUGGUGAAAUGAAAACAGCCGAGGUGUCCUUCAACAGGUGAAUGGUUAAAUAAAAUGGGGUAUAUUCAUACCAUGGGAUAUUGCUCAGGAACAAAAGGAAACAAACUGGGGAUCUGUGCAACUUGUUGAAGUUCCAAGAAUUAUGUAGAGUGAAAAAGCCAAUCCCAAAAGGUUACAUACUGUAUGAUUCCAUGUAUACAAUAUUCUUGCAAUGACAACAUUUUAGAAAUGGAGAGUGGAUUAUUGGAUAACAGACUUAGGGGUAGAGUGGUGGAGCUGGGAGGGAGGGGUGGGUGGUUGUAGAAGGACAACACAGGGAUGCUUGUGGUGAUGCAGUGUUCUGUGUCUUCACUAUGAUGGUAAAUACAUGAACCUAUACAUGUGACAAAACUGUAUGGAACUAAAUAUACACACACUAAUGAGUACAGGUAAUAUUGGGGAAUUCUGAAUAAGAUUAGUCAGCUGUGUCAAUAUCAGUAUUAAUAUUCUGAUUGUGAAAUUGUACUGUCAUUUUUGCAAGUAAUACCAUUAGGAGAAAUUGAGUGAAAGGUGUGUGGGAUCUCUCUGUAUUAUUUCUUGCAACUGCAUCUGAACCUACAAAUUGUCUCAAUAAAAAUUUCAAUUAAGAAAAUAAGUGACAAGGGCUGAGUGGCAUAUCCAGAUCCAUGAACAUAGUUGGAGGAUCUCAAACACGCUUACAAUGAAAGCGGGAUUUCUAAAAUAAAAAACUAAAUUGUAGUUAACAUUUGUUUAGCACAAAAGACACCCCAGGCACUAAGUGUUGUACAUACAUAACUUUAUUUCAUCUUCAUUACAUUUUUUUUUCAGGAUUUUCCCCCAUUAGAGAAACUGUGCCUGAAUUUCCAUGUUAGCGAAAGGGUGGUAAUGUCUCUUAUAGAGUUGAUAUGAGGUGUUAAAUAGAUCUCAACAUGUGAGAUGCAGAAACCAGGCCCUGACACAUAGAUGGUAUGCAUACCAAACUCAAUAUCAGUACAGGAAUUUUUGUAUUGAUCAUAAUACAAAAUACUUUUUUUUCCAGAUCAUAAUAUCUCUUUCUUUGCCUGAUUCUUUGAGAUGUACACAAACAUGCUCUAGAUCAAGUUAUUCCAGAAUAGGCAGAGUGUGGUGACAGAUGAAACUUGAGUGUGUGAGAGAGGCAAACUUAUUUGUCUUCAAAUAACGACAAAUUAAGUGUCUGAAAGAAACAAUGGUAUGUGUUAAGAAUCUUGGCAAAUUUUAUUCAGUAGUGAUGGAAUAGUCAUAUCAUGAUUUUAAAAAUACACUUUUAACUUUAGAAUAGUUUUAGAUUUACAGAGAUACUGUAAAAAUAGUGCAGAGAGGCCCCGGAUGCCCUGCACCCAGUUUCGCCUGUUGUUAAUAUUUUACAUUACUGUGGAUUAGUGAUGAAUUAGUACCAAUGAAUGGACUGAUAUUGAUAUACUGUUAUUAAUGAAAAUUCAUACUUUAUUGGACUUCCUUAGUUUCUUUUUUUUUUUCUUUUUUUGAGACAGAGUAUCACUCUGUCACCUGGGCUGGAGUGCAAUGGCUCCAUCUCGUCUCACUGCAACCUCUGCCUCCCAGAUUCAAGCGAUUCUCCUGCCUCAGCCUCCUGAGUAGCUGGGAUUAACAGGCGCCCGCCAUGAUGCCCAGCUAAUUUUUUUGUAUUUUUAGUGAGACGGGGAUUCACCAUAUUGACCAGGCUGGUCUCGAACUGCUGACCUCAAGUGAUCCACCCACCUUGGCCUCCCAAAGUGCUGGGAUUACAGGCAUGAGCCACUGUGCCCAGCCCUUAGUUUCUUCUUAAUGUUCUUUUAUUGUCCAGGGAUCCCAUCUAGGACAUCACAUUCCAUCAGCAUCCUGUCUCCUCAGGACCCUCUUGGCUAUGACAAUUUCCUCAGAUUUUCAUGUCUUUGAUGACCUUGACUACGUUGAGAAGUAUUGUCAGGUGUAUUGUAGCAUAUCCCUCAACUGGGGUUUGUUUGUUGUUUUUCUAAUGGUUAGACUCAGGUUAUGAGGUUUUGGGAAGAAGGCUACAGAGGAGAAAGAAGUACCAUUAUCUUCAUAUGAUAUCAGGGGUGCCUGCUGUCACCAUGGCUUAUUGUUGAUGUUGACCUUGAUCACCUGGCUAGGCAGUGUUUGCCAGUCUUCCUACUGUAAAGUUAUUUUCUGUUUCCCCUUUCCAGACUGUAUGUACCCUUUGGAAGGAAAUCACUAUACACAAUGAGCACUUAAGGGUCAGAGACUUACGUUCCACCUUCUUGAGGGAACAGUAUCUAUAAUAAACUAUUUGGGAUUUUUUGGUACAGGAGAUUUGUCUUUUCUACCUUGCAUUGGUCAGAAUUCUCCAGAGAAACAGAAACAAUAGGAGAGAGAGAGAGAGAGAGAGAGAGAGGAGAGAGAGAGAGAGAGAGAGAGAGAGAUAUUAUGAGAGAUUGGCCCACAUGAGUAUGGAGGCCAAGAAGUCCCAUGAUCUACUCUCUGCAAGCUGGAGACCCAGGGGGGAUAAUGGUGUAAUUCAUUCCAAGUCUGAAAACCUAAGAACCAGGAGCUCCAAUGUCUGAGGACAGGAGAAGAUGAAUGUCUCAACUCAAAAAGAACGAGACAAUUCACCCUUGCUUCACCUUUUUGUUCUAUUUGGGCCCUCAAUGGUUUGGAUGAUGCUCACCUGCAUUGGUGAAGGUGGAUCUUCUUUGUUCAGUCUACUGAUUCAAAUGCUAAUCUCUUUGAGAAACACCCUCAUAGACACACCCAGAAAUAAUGUUUCUCUGGCUAUCUGGGCAUCCCUUAUCCCAGUCAAGUUGGCACAUAUUCAGGCUCCCUGUUCUGUUUAAAAAGGUUGACAUAUAAAAUUAACCACUGUAGGCCAGGCACGGUGGCUCAUGCUUGUAAUCCCAGCAAUUUGGGAGGUCAAGGCAGGCGGAUCAUUUGAGAUGGGGAGUUGCACACUAGCCUGGUCAACAUGGUGAAAUGCUGUCUGUACUAGGAAUACAAAAAUUAGCCAGACGUGGCAGUGUGUGCCUAUAGUCCCAGCUACUCGGGAGGCUGAGGCACGAGAAUCACUUGAACCCAGGAGGUGGAGGUUGCAGUGAGCUGAUCACACUACUGCACUCCAGCGUGGGUGACAGAGUGAGGCUUUGUUUCAAACAAAAAAGAAAAAAAUUAACCAUUGCAUCCCUCUUUAUUUAUCCAGUCAUUUAUCUAAAUCAUUGCAGCUUUAUGGAUAUUUAUUUUAUAUUUUGAAUUAUAGUCCAAUACUACUUUCUGAAUUUUCUUGUUCAAAUGGUCCCAGAUUUGAACUUUGCAAACUUUCAGUUUCUUCCUGUGUCCCUUUGACAUGCUCGCAUUACUUGCUUUUCAUUCGUUUUUAGCAUUUUCUUACUUUCUUGCACUACAAAAUGCUCCAGGUUCAUCUCGUAUAUUAUUUUCCCAGACCUGGAAUCAGCCAAUUCUUUAAGGAAUCCUGGUUCGUUUUAUUGAAGAAUAGUAUUUGAAUCCAAGAUAUGGGCAUUGGGUGUGCUUGAUGGUAUUGGGGUGUCGUUCCUUCUAGGCUGUGCAUGCACACAGCUCUAUAAAUUUGUUCAUAUAUGUAUAUGUUCAUCCAUCUGCAGACACAUUUGUAUUUUAGGCUAAAGGUGAGUUCACAUUGAUAUCUCCAACUCUCAUCCAGUACCACCUGCUUGAGUCUAGCUGUUCCUCCUUGUUUAUCUGUAAUGUUUAGCUGGGCAUGGUGGCUCACGCCUGUAGUUCCAGCACUUUGGGAGGCCGAGACAGGAGGAUCACUUGAGGUCAGGAGUUCAAGACCAGCCUGGCCAACAUGGUGAAACCAUGUCUUUACUAAAAAUACAAAAAAAAAAAAAAUUAGCCUGGUGUCGGGGUGGGUGCCUGUAAUUCCAACUACUAGGGAGGCUGAGGCAGGGGAAUCGCUUGAACCCAGGAGGCAGAGGUUGCAGUGAGCUGAGAUCCUGCCACUGCACUCCAGCCUGGGUGACAGAGCAAGACUCUGUCUCAAAAAAAAAAAAAAAAAAAGGAAUGUGUAAAUAAUUUACUAGCAGAUAUUGUGUUAUUGAAAAACUAGGAAUUAAAUUUUCUUUAUUUUUUAUUUUUUGAGACAGGGUCUGGCUCUGUCACAUAGGCUGGAGUGUAGUGGCACUGUCUUAGCUCAUGACAACCUCCACCUCCCGGGUUCAAGCCAUCCUCCCACCUCAGCCUCCUGAGUAGCUGGGACUACAGGCACGUGCCACCAUUCCCAGCUAAUUUUUGUAUAUUUUGCAGAGAUGGGGUUUUGCCAUGUUCCCCAGGCUGGUCUCAAAUCCCUGAGCUCAUGCAAUCCAAUCGCCUUGGCCACUCAAAGUGGUAAGUUUACAGGCGUGAGCCACUGAGCCCAGCAUGAAUUUUCUCUCUGAUAAAAUAACCUGCUUAGAACAUUUAGUCUAAUUUUAACCUGCGGAAGUAAAAGUUUCUUGACUUCCUAUUUCUUAUGUUCCCAGGUACACGUUUGUGCUUUUGGUGACUUUGUUUUGUCUUUCAUUUAAAAUAGAACAUGGGAGGGAAUUCUUCACUUCUGAGAGAUGUGGGCUCCUUCAGUCUUAUUAUCGUCUUUCAUGUUUAUUGAAAAAAAAGUAUAUAUUUUUUCCUAAUAGGUAAACAAACUAUGGUUCUUAGGCACUCUUGGUUCAAUCUUAACUGAGUGACCAAAUCUCCUCUGAUAAUAAUCUUGAUUUUGCCUUCCCAAGACCAAACCCUAAAUUUAGAAAAAUAAUGGAUUUUGAAUUUUGUUAGCACUUUGAACCAUCCUUGUGAUUUCCCAGAUAGGCACCAGAAAAUCACAAAGAUUUGUGUGUGUUCUUAACUGCAAAGGAAACACUGAUUAAAUCCAUGUGAAAUAAUUAUGUAUGAUAUUCUAAUAUAGAGCUUGAUUCCCCCCUCCCCCAAUUUUGAUGUUGUUGGGUACUGUAAUAAAAUAACUACAGCUCUGUCAUCAACAGCUAGUGUCUGCGUUCUUCUGAUUGCCUGAGAGCUCUGCUCUAGGUUAUAGGCUGAGAAACUAGGUCUUCGACAACCAAGGUUAGUUUCAGAACCACAUGGAAAAGACUGUUGUAGGCACUGCUUACUACUCACAUUCCAGGAAAUGGGUACAGACUUUGGAGAUUAAGCUGACUUUGCUUAGACAACCUUCAAACUGCACCAGUGAGUCCAAGUCAAGAUUUCCCAGACUCUUUUCAGGCCAGAAGCAGAUGAGCUCAUGAAAGCAGAUGCCAACCCAAGAUGCCAUAGAAUAAGAAUGAAUUGUAUGGGGCUGGAUGAACUGAAGAGGGAAAGUAGCUAACUGCUCACUUGGAAUCUUGUUGAAAACUGUAUUUAAUAAUCUGUUUUCUGAUGGAUAUGAGAGUAAACCUUUCCUUUUUUUUUGAUAAUUAAUAAUAAUUAAUUUAAUAAUCUGUUUUCUGAUGGAUAUGAGAGUAAACCUUUCCUUUUUUUUUUGAGAUGCCAUCUCACUCUGUCACCUACGCAGGAGUGCAAUCUCAGCUCACUGCAGCCUCCGCCUCCCAUGUUCAAGUGAUCCUCCUGCCUCAGCUCCCUGAGUUGCUGGGAUUACAGGCAUCUGCCACCAUGCCUG